Long non-coding RNA from Sinocyclocheilus anshuiensis, 101 nucleotides. RefSeq lists it as uncharacterized. The record is from RefSeq and is a predicted model, not a curated record. The transcript is spliced from 3 exons. Lineage: Eukaryota; Metazoa; Chordata; Actinopteri; Cypriniformes; Cyprinidae.
AUCUCCAGCUCCAGCGUCACAGUCAGCAGAGGGUUUGGUCUUCUUCAGUUUCUCCACCACUUCAGCCAGCAUGGUGUUUCUAGCUAAAGCAGGUCUUGGAC